AUUGAACGCUGGCGGCAGGCCUAACACAUGCAAGUCGAACGAGUGGCGGACGGGUGAGUAAUGUCUGGGAAACUGCCUGAUGGAGGGGGAUAACUACUGGAAACGGUCGCUAAUACCGCAUACCAUCAGAUGUGCCCAGAGGGGAUUAGCUGGUUGGGGGGGUAACGGCACACCAGGGCGACGAGCCCUAGCUGGGCGGAGAGGAUGACCAGCCACACUGCAACUGAGACACGGUCCAGACUCCUACGCGAGGCAGCAGUGGGGAAUAUUGUACAAGUGGCUCAAGCCUGAUGCAGCCAUGCCGUGUGUAUGAAGAAGGCCUGCGGGUUGUAAUGUUCUUUCAGCGGUGAGGCGGUACCCGCAGAAGAAGCACCGGCUAACUCCGUGCCAGCAGCCGCGGUAAUUC
This 406-nucleotide ribosomal RNA is filed under the name uncultured bacterium. Its description in RNAcentral is "partial 16S ribosomal RNA". It matches the Rfam family "Bacterial small subunit ribosomal RNA", at positions 30 to 526 of the family's 1533-position model. The record is from RNAcentral.